Rosa chinensis is the source of this 672-nucleotide long non-coding RNA. RefSeq lists it as uncharacterized. Lineage: Eukaryota; Viridiplantae; Streptophyta; Magnoliopsida; Rosales; Rosaceae. The transcript has 5 exons. The record is from RefSeq and is a predicted model, not a curated record.
CUCUGCAUCCUAGAUCAGAUUCGGAGACUCUCUCAGUCUCCAUCCUAGAUCACUCUCUCACUCUCUCAGUCUCCAUCCUAUCUCAUAUUUGAAGACGACUCUGAGACUCUCAGGCUCUCAGCCCAGACGAGCGAGACGAACCCAGAAACAUCUCGUCUUCGAUUUGUGUUGGCCAUCUGCGAUUUGGUUGAUGCAGCUCCGCCUGGGACUUGGUUGAUGUAGAUCCGUCUGCGAUUUGGUCAACUCUUGCAGUGAGUGCAGUCCAGCGACCAUAGCCUGUGAUUUCGAGUGAAAUUGUUAAGCUCCAGAGUCCAUAGCAUGUGAUGCUCAUGAGCACUUCGAGUGAAAUUGGGAGGAGAUUGAAAAACAAAAGGCUCAUGAGCGAUACAUGUGGUUGCACUGUUGCAGGAGCAGGGAAAAACUGAACAAGCAAAGAAAGAUUUAGAUCUAAGCAUAUGUUUAUUCAAGAAUAAUCAUGAUCAAUGAUGAUGAUGCAAGACUCAAUGAAAAGGAAGAGAGUGAAAAAAUUGGGCCAUAUAAAAGCUUCAAACUUUUGAAUAGUUCAAGCUUCAUCAUCCACCUCUCAUUAUUUAAUAUUGAUGGAAGACUUGUUGCAUUGAGGAAGCCAUGCUGGAAAUUUGUUUGAAGUUGUGCACUUUGAUGAAAUGUUGA